UCCAGGUCAACGUUCGGACCAUCUGCAGGCUGCAGCAACGUUUCCGGGCCACCAACACCACAAAUGAUCGCCCCUGUACUGGCAGACAAGGGUGGCCACAAGACGACAAGACUGCCAUGUACAGAAA
Molecule: long non-coding RNA, 127 nt
Organism: Haliotis rubra (blacklip abalone)
Lineage: Eukaryota; Metazoa; Mollusca; Gastropoda; Lepetellida; Haliotidae
Exons: 3
Source: RefSeq, a predicted model, not a curated record